CCUUAUGUCCAAGCCACCGCGAACGUGCCCGAUCUCGUCUGAUAUCAGAAGCUAAACAGGGUCAGGCCUGAUUAGUACUUGGAUAGGAGACCACCUAGCAAGACCAGACGCUGUAGGCG
Molecule: ribosomal RNA, 119 nt
Filed under: Pteropus vampyrus (large flying fox)
Lineage: Eukaryota; Metazoa; Chordata; Mammalia; Chiroptera; Pteropodidae
Source: RNAcentral